RNAcentral lists this ribosomal RNA (542 nucleotides) under Microbacterium petrolearium. RNAcentral's name for it is "bacterial SSU rRNA". It matches the Rfam family "Bacterial small subunit ribosomal RNA", at positions 67 to 619 of the family's 1533-position model. The record is from RNAcentral. Lineage: Bacteria; Bacillati; Actinomycetota; Actinomycetes; Micrococcales; Microbacteriaceae.
CGAUGAAGCUGGAGCUUGCUCUGGUGGAUUAGUGGCGAACGGGUGAGUAACACGUGAGCAACCUGCCCCUGACUCUGGGAUAACAGCCGGAAACGGCUGCUAAUACCGGAUAUGCACCAUGAACGCAUGUUCUGUGGUGGGAAAGAUUUUUCGGUUGGGGAUGGGCUCGCGGCCUAUCAGCUUGUUGGUGAGGUAAUGGCUCACCAAGGCGUCGACGGGUAGCCGGCCUGAGAGGGUGACCGGCCACACUGGGACUGAGACACGGCCCAGACUCCUACGGGAGGCAGCAGUGGGGAAUAUUGCACAAUGGGCGAAAGCCUGAUGCAGCAACGCCGCGUGAGGGAUGACGGCCUUCGGGUUGUAAACCUCUUUUAGCAGGGAAGAAGCGAGAGUGACGGUACCUGCAGAAAAAGCGCCGGCUAACUACGUGCCAGCAGCCGCGGUAAUACGUAGGGCGCAAGCGUUAUCCGGAAUUAUUGGGCGUAAAGAGCUCGUAGGCGGUUUGUCGCGUCUGCUGUGAAAACUGGAGGCUCAACCUCCAG